RNAcentral lists this ribosomal RNA (301 nucleotides) under uncultured bacterium. RNAcentral's name for it is "partial 16S ribosomal RNA". It matches the Rfam family "Bacterial small subunit ribosomal RNA", at positions 509 to 807 of the family's 1533-position model. The record is from RNAcentral.
CAGUAGCCGCGGUAAUACGAAGGGGGCUAGCGUUGCUCGGAAUUACUGGGCGUAAAGCGUGCGUAGGCGGUUUGUUAAGUCUGCAGUGAAAUCCCCGGGCUCAACCUGGGAAUGGCAGUGGAUACUGGCAAGCUAGAGUGUGUCAGAGGAUGGCGGAAUUCCCGGUGUAGCGGUGAAAUGCGUAGAGAUCGGGAGGAACAUCAGUGGCGAAGGCGGCCAUCUGGGACAACACUGACGCUGAGGCACGAAAGCGUGGGGAGCAAACAGGAUUAGAGACCCCAGUAGUCCCUGUCUCUUAUAC